This is a long non-coding RNA of Daphnia carinata, 2641 nucleotides long. RefSeq lists it as uncharacterized. Lineage: Eukaryota; Metazoa; Arthropoda; Branchiopoda; Diplostraca; Daphniidae. The record is from RefSeq and is a predicted model, not a curated record. The transcript has 3 exons.
UCGUGACCGGACUUUUGAACCUUGUGACGGCAGACGAGUUUCCCUUGCGGACGCCCGGAAUUCUUGAACGAAAGAAAAUCAGCGUGAAGAACAGAACAGAUUUCGUGUUUUGUAGGUGGAACAAGUCGAUUGAAUUUUUGCAGUGCAAAAAAUCCCCGCACACACAAAAAAAAAGUAAUCGAACCGGAGUGACAGGCUCGUGAACGGAGAUGGUGUCGUCUUCGAGGUAGUAGCACAACUUGACCGGGUGGACGGUCCUGCAGGAAUAGCCCCAGGCUACUGAAUCCUCGACGUAGAAUCCAUCGAAGCGCAGUGUCUGUAUACAAAAAAAAAACAGGAUGGGGGAGACACAGAAAUUUUGAAUUGCAAAUGAGGUUUUUUGCGUGUGCGUGGCCCCAUCUUCCAUUUGCAUAGUAAUUAUAACAGCCCAAUGAUGCCAAAGAGUUUUGCUUACCAGUCGGUCAUAGAGGACGCUCUUCGGCACGAAAGGUCGGCUCGAAUCCGCUUUGUAGGGCGGAUAGAUGGGCGGUGACAAACCGGCUAGUUCACGAUCCAUAUGUUUCGAAUCUCGUUCGAAAUGAACCGCCGAUCUUUUGAAUGUUAAAAAACUAAAUAGUUAGUUCCCUACUUCCCCCCGUCUCAACAUCACAACAACUAUAAAUAUUGCCUUUCUAUAAUGUAAAUACGUACGUUUUUUAGGUAUCGGAACAAAAGGAAACUUCCCAAAAAAAAAAGAAGUGGGGGGGGGGGGGGUAGAAUUGAUAUAUAGGACCCUCUCUGCAGACAGCCGGACGUGUUAAGGAAAUUGAUCGAACGUAUACACAACAAGAAAUAAUGGGAACAGUAGCAGAGGGAGUUUCAAAACGUAUAUACUUUUAUAUCUAGCCCAUAUGUGUCCCUUUUAGGUAUAAUCCAACAUUUUUCAAUCUCGCGUAGAGACAGCUUGUAUGUGUAUCAUUUUCCGUUAGACUACACUCGGAUUAUUAGAAAAAGAAGAGGACGAUCCAAACGGGGGCACAUGUUUUUACCUGGAAGCGACUAGCUGAGGCGGACGGAAUCGAUGCAAGUCGUAGUCUGCUUGGGACGAUAUUGAGUUCAAGUUCCCGGAAGUUGACGAAUAACAGUUCCCCUUGGGUAGAGGAACUCCGUCGUGGAAGUGAAGCGUUUGACAUUUCCGAUAGUUGGACUUUUCACGAAAAUUUUUUUUUGAACAGACGGAAAAUUUUAAUAUUUUCAAACAGGAGAAAGAUAUGCGGGAAGAGUCAAAGAACAUUAGGUCGAUAGAUCCAGCCACCCCCCCCUCCCCCCCUUUUUCGCGAGAAACGUUCAUCACAAUCACGGUGAUGAGAAUUUUCUAAUCGACUCUUGAGUUGCACUCGUAUCAAGGUAUAUUUGAAACCUUGCAAAAAAAAAAUUAAUCGGCAAUUGCAUUCUCCUUUCAGCAUCAACUAAAAGACUUGAAUUUGUGUAUUGUUGAUGACUCUAUUCUCCUUAAAAAGGGGGGGACUUUCGUACGCCUCAAUGGCUCCAUAACCGAAACAUUGGUCCGCUCGGUUGAUUGCCACACAAUAUAGACUUUCAGUUCUUUAUGUAACUGCCAACUAGUUCUUCGCUGCUGUUAGCCCAUCACGCAGAUAUAUAGGUCGAGUAUUUCGUGUGCAGCGGUAUAUAUAUAUCCUUUCCUAUCAGAGAGUCAUUCUCUUUUGGCGAGUUUCAGAUCAGAUUUAUGACACACAUUCACUUGACGCUUUGGGUGUGUAUCCUCUUCGUUCUGCAACUCUCAUUUUAUAGAUAUAUAUAUUUAUGGCGUACAAUCAAAAGGAAGGCUAAAGAAGAAAAGGAGACCCAUCAUCCAAAAGAAUCGAGGCAUUUUUUUUUUUUUUUUUGCACAACAGUCUACGACAUAUCGCGAUCAAUAAUGCAGACGUGGCUCUCUUUACACUUUACAGCUUAAACACAUUUUAUGUAGAUCUAAAAAAACGAACUGUAAUUUGUUUGACAUUUAAAGAUUUUUACCUUGAUCGCUUUUUGCCCAAUUCCCGGCAACAUCACGUGAUUUUUCGAGCCGUUGUGAACUGCACACACAGACGAACGAAAGGUUUCUCUCUCUCUCUCUCUCAAUUUUUAAAAACCCAACAAACUGUAAAACAACAGAGAGAGACAGGAGAGAGAGAAACUUUCUCCGGAUGACUUGUCCAGCCAACUGAUGUGUGUAGCCAAAAUGUUAGGACGUGUCCAGGACAACCGAUCCCUUUUCAUACUUCUCUCAGGGUCUAUAAAGCAGCGCUUGCCCUAGCCUUUAUUUUGUGUGUCAUCAUCGUAAAUGCAUAUACAGUAAGGGGAGGGGAAUCAAAAUGCAGAAGUAAUGCCCGAAAGGGCAAAACUUAUACAGUAGAAGAACAAGAAACUUCAUAUAAGUGUGUGUGUGUGUGUGUGUGUGUAGGGUGUAACCGUUGACGAUUCGACCAAACUCUCAUAUGUGUGUGUGUGUGUGUGUAACCCUCGUCCGUCUGCUACGUGUUUCAUCAGCCAUGCGAAUGAUGAUGAUGAUGCGGAAUCAAUAUUUUCCUCGUCUGUAUAUAUACAGCCGGAAGGAGGGCCUUUCUAUAACGUGCCAUUCGCUCGAUUUGAUUUUGUUUUA